GGAGAUAGAGCUGAAUUGGUAGAGUGUGCCUUGCAUGCACAAGGCCCUGGGUUCAAUCCCCAGCACCA
Molecule: transfer RNA, 68 nt
Filed under: Marmota monax (woodchuck)
Lineage: Eukaryota; Metazoa; Chordata; Mammalia; Rodentia; Sciuridae
Description: tRNA.Ala
Source: RNAcentral